RNAcentral lists this ribosomal RNA (1189 nucleotides) under Haptophyta environmental samples. RNAcentral describes it as "SSU rRNA". It matches the Rfam family "Eukaryotic small subunit ribosomal RNA", at positions 427 to 1644 of the family's 1831-position model. The record is from RNAcentral. Lineage: Eukaryota; Haptophyta.
AGCAGGCGCGUAAAUUGCCCGAAUCCUGACACAGGGAGGUAGUGACAAGAAAUAACAAUACAGGGCUACUUCUAGUCUGGUAAUUGGAAUGAGUACAACUUACAUCUCUUCACGAGGAUCAAUAGGAGGGCAAGUCUGGUGCCAGCAGCCGCGGUAAUUCCAGCUCCAAAAGCGUAUAUUAAAGUUGUUGCAGUUAAAACGCUCGUAGUCGGGUUUCGGGUCGGGCCGAGCGGUCUGCCGAUGGGUAUGCACUGUCUGGCGCGGCCUUCUUUCCGGAGACCGCGGCUACCCUUAACUGAGCGGGCGUGGGUGACGGAUCGUUUACUUUGAAAAAAUCAGAGUGUUUCAAGCAGGCAGCUCGCUCUUGUAUGGUACAGCAUGGGAUGAUUGAAUAGGACCCCGGUGCUAUUUUGUUGGUUUCGAACACCAGGAGUAAUGAUUAACAGGGACAGUCAGGGGCACUCGUAUUCCGUCGAGAGAGGUGAAAUUCUCAGACCAAUGGAAGACGAACCACUGCGAAAGCAUUUGCCAGGGAUGUUUUCACUGAUCAAGAACGAAAGUUAGGGGAUCGAAGACGAUCAGAUACCGUCGUAGUCUUAACCAUAAACCAUGCCGACUAGGGAUUGGAGGGUGUUCGUUUCGACCUCUUCAGCACCUUACGGGAAACUAAAGUCUUUGGGUUCCGGGGGGAGUAUGGUCGCAAGGCUGAAACUUAAAGGAAUUGACGGAAGGGCACCACCAGGAGUGGAGCCUGCGGCUUAAUUUGACUCAACACGGGGAAACUUACCAGGUCCAGACAUUGUUAGGAUUGACAGAUUGAGAGCUCUUUCUUGAUUCGAUGGGUGGUGGUGCAUGGCCGUUCUUAGUUGGUGGAGUGAUUUGUCUGGUUAAUUCCGAUAACGAACGAGACCGUAGCCUGCUAAAUAGUCCCGCGAACUUCUUGUUGGCGGCCGACUUCUUAGAGGGACAACUUGUGACCAACAAGCGGAAGUUUGCGGCAAUAACAGGUCUGUGAUGCCCUUAGAUGUUCUGGGCCGCACGCGCGCUACACUGAAGCACUCAACGAGUCCACCUCGACCGACAGGUCUGGGAAACCUUUUGAAAUUGCUUCGUGAUGGGGAUAGAUUAUUGCAACUAUUAAUCUUCAACGAGGAAUUCCUAGUAAGCGCAUGUCAUCAGCGUACGUUGA